This 496-nucleotide ribosomal RNA is filed under the name uncultured bacterium. RNAcentral's name for it is "partial 16S ribosomal RNA". It matches the Rfam family "Bacterial small subunit ribosomal RNA", at positions 28 to 506 of the family's 1533-position model. The record is from RNAcentral.
GAUGAACGCUGGCGGCGUGCCUAAUACAUGCAAGUCGAGCGAACAGACGAGGAGCUUGCUCCUUUGACGUUAGCGGCGGACGGGUGAGUAACACGUGGGUAACCUACCUAUAAGACUGGGAUAACUUCGGGAAACCGGAGCUAAUACCGGAUAAUAUUUCGAACCGCAUGGUUCGAUAGUGAAAGAUGGCUCUGCUAUCACUUAUAGAUGGACCUGCGCCGUAUUAGCUAGUUGGUAAGGUAACGGCUUACCAAGGCAACGAUACGUAGCCGACCUGAGAGGGUGAUCGGCCACACUGGAACUGAGACACGGUCCAGACUCCUACGGGAGGCAGCAGUAGGGAAUCUUCCGCAAUGGGCGAAAGCCUGACGGAGCAACGCCGCGUGAGUGAUGAAGGUCUUCGGAUCGUAAAACGCUGUUAUUAGGGAAGAACAAACGUGUAAGUAACGGUGCACGUCUUGACGGUACCUAAUCAGAAAGCCACGGCUAACUACGU